ACCUACGGGGCGCAGCAGUGGGGGAUAUUGCACAAUGGGGGCAACCCUGAUGCAGCGACGCCGCGUGAGCGAUGGAGUACUUCGGUAUGUAAAGCUCUGUCAGCAGGGAAGAAAAUGACGGUACCUGAAGAAGAAGCCCCGGCUAACUACGUGCCAGCAGCCGCGGUAAUACGUAGGGGGCAAGCGUUAUCCGGAUUUACUGGGUGUAAAGGGGGCGCAGACGGCGAUGCAAGCCAGGAGCGAAAGCCCGGGGCCCAACCCCGGGACUGCUCUUGGCACUGCGUGGCUGGAGUGCAGGAGGGGCG
RNAcentral lists this ribosomal RNA (305 nucleotides) under uncultured bacterium. RNAcentral's name for it is "bacterial SSU rRNA". It matches the Rfam family "Bacterial small subunit ribosomal RNA", at positions 337 to 659 of the family's 1533-position model. The record is from RNAcentral.